GAGCAGAUGACCAUCCUGUACGACAUCUGGAACGCGGGGCUGGACGCCGAGGACAUGCACUUCCUGCGCCUCACCUACGAGCGCCUGCUGCAGGAGGACAACAGCACCGACUGGCUCAACGACACCCACUGGGUGCACCACACCGAUAUCCCCGCCCCGGGGGCGUCCGGCGCUUGGAGAUAGGGUAUCACGAUGUCUGGGUGUUGGAGGACUGGGGUGUCCGGGGGUUGGGAGACGGAGCAUCAGGAUGUCCAGGGGUUGGAGGACUGGGGCGUCCAAGGGUUGGGAUAUGGGGUGUCAGGAUGUCCGGGUGUUGGAGGACUGCGGUGUCCGGGUGUUGGGAGACGGGGCAUCAGGAUAUCCAGGUGUUGGAGGACUGCGGUGUCCGGGUGUUGGGAGAUGGGGCAUCAGGAUAUCCAGGUGUUGGAGGACUGCGGUGUCCGGGUGUUGGGAGACAGGGUGUCAGGAUGUGUGGGUGUUAGAGAAUUGUGGUGUCCAGGUGUUGGGGGGGACUGUGUCCGAGUGUUGAGAGACAUGGUGUCAGGAUGUCUGGGUGUUGGAGAAUUGUGGUGUCCAGGUGUUGGAGGACUGCGGUGUCCGGGUGUUGGGAGAUGGGGCAUCAGGAUAUCCAGGUGUUGGAGGACUGCGGUGUCCGGGUGUUGGGAGACAGGGUGUCAGGAUGUGUGGGUGUUAGAGAAUUGUGGUGUCCAGGUGUUGGGGGACUGGGGUGUCCGAGUGUUGGGAGACAGGCGGUCAGGAUGUCCAGGUGUUGGGGACUGUGUCCGAGUGUUGAGAGACAUGGUGUCAGGAUGUCUGGGUGUUGGAGAAUUGUGGUGUCCAGGUGUUGGGAGACGGGGCGUCACGAUGUCCGGGUGUUGGAGGACUGCGGUGUCCAGGUGUUGGAGGACUGCGGUGUCCGGGUGUUGGGAGACAGGGUGUCAGGAUGUGUGGGUGUUAGAGAAUUGUGGUGUCCAGGUGUUGGGGGACUGGGGUGUCCGAGUGUUGGGAGACAGGCGGUCAGGAUGUCCAGGUGUUGGGGACUGUGUCCGAGUGUUGAGAGACAUGGUGUCAGGAUGUCUGGGUGUUGGAGAAUUGUGGUGUCCAGGUGUUGGGAGACGGGGCGUCACGAUGUCCGGGUGUUGGAGGACUGCGGUGUCCAGGUGUUGGAGGACUGCGGUGUCCGGGUGUUGGGAGACAGGGUGUCAGGAUGUGUGGGUGUUAGAGAAUUGUGGUGUCCAGGUGUUGGGGGACUGGGGUGUCCGAGUGUUGGGAGACAGGCGGUCAGGAUGUCCAGGUGUUGGGGACUGUGUCCGAGUGUUGAGAGACAUGGUGUCAGGAUGUCUGGGUGUUGGAGAAUUGUGGUGUCCAGGUGUUGGGAGACGGGGCGUCACGAUGUCCGGGUGUUGGAGGACUGCGGUGUCCAGGUGUUGGAGGACUGCGGUGUCCGGGUGUUGGGAGACAGGGUGUCAGGAUGUGUGGGUGUUAGAGAAUUGUGGUGUCCAGGUGUUGGGGGACUGGGGUGUCCGAGUGUUGGGAGACAGGCGGUCAGGAUGUCCAGGUGUUGGGGGACUGGGGUGUCCGAGUGUUGGGAGACAGGCGGUCAGGAUGUCCAGGUGUUGGGGACUGUGUCCGAGUGUUGAGAGACAUGGUGUCAGGAUGUCUGGGUGUUGGAGAAUUGUGGUGUCCAGGUGUUGGGAGACGGGGCGUCACGAUGUCCGGGUGUUGGAGGACUGCGGUGUCCAGGUGUUGGAGGACUGCGGUGUCCGGGUGUUGGGAGACAGGGUGUCAGGAUGUGUGGGUGUUAGAGAAUUGUGGUGUCCAGGUGUUGGGGGACUGGGGUGUCCGAGUGUUGGGAGACAGGCGGUCAGGAUGUCCAGGUGUUGGGGACUGUGUCCGAGUGUUGAGAGACAUGGUGUCAGGAUGUCUGGGUGUUGGAGAAUUGUGGUGUCCAGGUGUUGGGAGACGGGGCGUCACGAUGUCCGGGUGUUGGAGGACUGCGGUGUCCAGGUGUUGGAGGACUGCGGUGUCCGGGUGUUGGGAGACAGGGUGUCAGGAUGUGUGGGUGUUAGAGAAUUGUGGUGUCCAGGUGUUGGGGGACUGGGGUGUCCGAGUGUUGGGAGACAGGCGGUCAGGAUGUCCAGGUGUUGGGGGGGACUGUGUCCGAGUGUUGAGAGACAUGGUGUCAGGAUGUCUGGGUGUUGGAGAAUUGUGGUGUCCAGGUGUUGGAGGACUGCGGUGUCCGGGUGUUGGGAGACAGGGUGUCAGGAUGUGUGGGUGUUAGAGAAUUGUGGUGUCCAGGUGUUGGGGGACUGGGGUGUCCGAGUGUUGGGAGACAGGCGGUCAGGAUGUCCAGGUGUUGGGGACUGUGUCCGAGUGUUGAGAGACAUGGUGUCAGGAUGUCUGGGUGUUGGAGAAUUGUGGUGUCCAGGUGUUGGGAGACGGGGCGUCACGAUGUCCGGGUGUUGGAGGACUGCGGUGUCCAGGUGUUGGAGGACUGCGGUGUCCGGGUGUUGGGAGACAGGGUGUCAGGAUGUGUGGGUGUUAGAGAAUUGUGGUGUCCAGGUGUUGGGGGACUGGGGUGUCCGAGUGUUGGGAGACAGGCGGUCAGGAUGUCCAGGUGUUGGGGACUGUGUCCGAGUGUUGAGAGACAUGGUGUCAGGAUGUCUGGGUGUUGG
Molecule: long non-coding RNA, 2675 nt
Filed under: Struthio camelus australis
Lineage: Eukaryota; Metazoa; Chordata; Aves; Struthioniformes; Struthionidae
Description: lncRNA (ENSSCUG00000013661.1)
Source: RNAcentral